AUUGAACGCUGGCGGCAGGCCUAACACAUGCAAGUCGAGCGGAUGAAGGGAGCUUGCUCCUGGAUUCAGCGGCGGACGGGUGAGUAAUGCCUAGGAAUCUGCCUGGUAGUGGGGGAUAACGUCCGGAAACGGGCGCUAAUACCGCAUACGUCCUGAGGGAGAAAGUGGGGGAUCUUCGGACCUCACGCUAUCAGAUGAGCCUAGGUCGGAUUAGCUAGUUGGUGGGGUAAAGGCCUACCAAGGCGACGAUCCGUAACUGGUCUGAGAGGAUGAUCAGUCACACUGGAACUGAGACACGGUCCAGACUCCUACGGAAGGCAGCAGUGGGGAAUAUUGGACAAUGGGCGAAAGCCUGAUCCAGCCAUACCGCGUGUGUGAAGAAGGUCUUCGGAUUGUAAAGCACUUUAAGUUGGGAGGAAGGGCAGUAAGUUAAUACCUUGCUGUUUUGACGUUACCAACAGAAUAAGCACCGGCUAACUUCGUG
This 484-nucleotide ribosomal RNA is filed under the name uncultured bacterium. RNAcentral describes it as "partial 16S ribosomal RNA". It matches the Rfam family "Bacterial small subunit ribosomal RNA", at positions 30 to 507 of the family's 1533-position model. The record is from RNAcentral.